GACGAACGCUGGCGGCGCGCUUAACACAUGCAAGUCGAACGGAAAGGCCUGCUUUCCCUUGUGGAUUGCGGGUACUCGAGUGGCGAACGGGUGAGUAACACGUGAGUGAUCUGCCCCCAACUUGGGUAUAAGCCUGGGAAACUGGGUCUAAUUCCCGAUAGGACUGCAGGGUGGUGCCUGUGGUGGAAAACGAUUUUCUAGUGGUUGGGGAUGAGCUCGCGGCCUAUCAGCUUGUUGGUGGGGUAAUGGCCUACCAAGGCGGCGACGGGUAGCCGGCCUGAGAGGGUGGACGGCCACAUUGGGACUGAGAUACGGCCCAGACUCCUACGGGAGGCAGCAGUGGGGAAUAUUGCACAAUGGGCGGAAGCCUGAUGCAGCGACGCCGCGUGGGGGAUGACGGCCUUCGGGUUGUAAACUCCUUUCGACCGCGAGGAAGCCACCUGGUUGGAAGGGUGGUGACGGUAGUGGUAGAAGAAGCACCGGCUAACUACGUC
This 494-nucleotide ribosomal RNA is filed under the name uncultured bacterium. RNAcentral describes it as "partial 16S ribosomal RNA". It matches the Rfam family "Bacterial small subunit ribosomal RNA", at positions 28 to 507 of the family's 1533-position model. The record is from RNAcentral.